GCAGAAUUUAACUGUGUCCACAGAGUUCUUCGGCUGACUGCUGAGCAAGAUUGAAUACCCCGCACACACAACAAUAUUUCAUCCUCCUCCAUGUGUUCAUACAUCAUAUCUUCUAGAAUGCAUAAGUUGGUUCCAAAAUAUACUAGAAUUAAACUUAGGUGUGUACAGGCGAUGAAGGACAAAACCGGGGCCAAUAAUCUAUUGUAUACAGCAGGUUAAGACAAGCGGUGAAAUCAAAUGCAUCAGAUGAUCAGAUUGCACUGUGAGCUGAAGCUACAACAAUGAGCACCAAAAGUGAAAAUCGCCAAAAAAAAAUGUACAAAGGAGGUCAAAGGAAAUACGGGACCGCACUUCUCGGCCCUCGCAUCUGGUUGUUCUCAUCCGUCUCUGUGAAGAUCUUGACAUCUCUUUCCUGCCAACGGAAUUAAAAGGGUCGAUUAAAAUGAUCAAAUACAAAAGGUGGCAUAGUCAGUCCCCACUAAAGAUGACAUAACAAAUCUCCUUUUUUAAGAUAAUAACUGAAAAACAUGGUAUGCAUAAAACACAGGAGUAUCAGGUACUGCGACAUUAGGGAAUUGAAUGGAGAUUGUUGUAAUUAUUAUGAUCUUUACUUCUAUUUAUCAGGGAAAGAUACAAGGCACCAGUUCAUUUGUUACCAAACAAGCCACAUUCGCCUGUUUAUUGGUAAGUCUACAGCUUGGAAGCUGGGAUGAUAUGUUCCUUCUCAGAACCUCAGGUCAUAUUAACUUGCUUAAUCUGGACUAACUUCUUUUCAAGACUCUUAUUACUGUUAGUUUGUUAACAUCAAUAGUGCACAGAAAUACAGGAGCGACUUCAUCAAUCAUAACAGGAACUGUUGCAACUUGUGCUGCAAUGCUACUACUAUGUAACAAGGAUCAAAACAGCCUGAAAAUCAAAUCGCAGCUUCUGUUCUCUAUCUGGAUAUGCCAUCAGGAGCUCCGGAGUUCAUACACAAAACAGUGAAAUUAUCAUUAUAUACCUCACCGAUAGACUCAAGAAGGUUUCCAAUGGAACCUAUCAAAGCCCGAGUAGGAACGAUUUCUUGAAAGUUUUGAAGCCAAUAAAGCAUGUCUAGCAAAUUAUCGCAGGCGAAGACAGCAGUAGACAUAAAGUACAUAAAACACAAAUGAAGAACUAAGUCUGGUAGUGAUGGAGUGACCUACCAUAGUUUCGCUGAAGCUUAGUAUAGAAGCAACAUUCCCACAUCUGUAACAAUAAUUAGGUGCAGACCACACCUGGAAAAAAAUACACAAAUAAACAGUGAGCAUCUGGAACUACAUGCAAGUUCUCGGACAAUUUGACAUGUGUAAAUGGAGAGCUUACAGUUACAAGACCCUUGUCUGGGAACAUGUACUUUAGGCCUUCCUGGACUAGUUGAUGAGCCCGACAAACUAACUCAAGAUUGUUAACAUGGUUAAACUGCAUCAGAACAACAAGCGUCAGUAAAAAUCUUACAUGGAGACAACCUGAAACGAAAAGAGCAAUAUGCCAUACCUCGGUUGUCACCCGUGAUCCAAAAAGCCAACCUGCUCCACGGGGACUAACACCCCAUGUCUCUAUCUCUUCUGGGUCACUCCACAUUAGAUCACAAAAAGGUCCUUCAUGAGGAAUUUCGCAGUUGCGAUCAAUUGUCCGCAUCUGGACACAACAAAGAUAUUCAAAACUACUAAUCAGAUUUGCACAUUUGGUUUGGUAUUUCACUGGGCACUGACUUAAACGAUCCAGUCUCAUAUAACAGGAAAAGCAAAAUCAUAUACAGGUAGUGAUUCUCCGUGAGUACUGAGUAGUUCCAUGAAACUACCGCUUUACAUAUAUGUACAGUUGGAAAGUAUAUUUUUCUCACCGAAAGGAAAUGUGUAUAACAAAGAUGACUCUAAGUCUCUAACAGAAGACGAUCCACAUGAAUACAACAGUACACUUCUUUUGUGGCUCAUUUGGGGCUGUGGAAAUAAGCUGCCCCCUACCCAGCUAAUUCUAGAAGCCCAAUCUAAAAUUUUAUUUUAAAAGCCUACUAAUUAAGGGUUAACUACUAGGCUUCUAAAAUAAAAUUUUAGGUUGAGCUUCUAGAAUAAGCUGGGUAGGUGGUAGCUUAUUUCCACAGUACCAAAUAAGCUACAAAAGAACUGGCCCUAAGACUCUAAGAGACACAUUUUCUGAUCGUACUACUGAUUAAUAGUCUGUUUAGUACACCCUUCAAACAAACAAAGGAAGCUACUCAAAGGGGCAUUAUAUGAUUGAACAAAUUGAAUAAACAAAGAACAAUAAUUAAUUUUACACAGGAAAAUGUGGAUAACUAUAUCUUGAUUUCACCAGGACAGUGUAAAUGAAAGCAUCAAUUCGGGAAUAUGAGCCAAAAGUGAACAGAAUAACUAACCUGAUCAACUGUGCGUACAUCAGGUGAAAGCCCACCAUGAACACAGAGGAC
RNAcentral lists this long non-coding RNA (2446 nucleotides) under Triticum aestivum (bread wheat). RNAcentral's name for it is "long non-coding RNA (TAES_LNC019740)". The record is from RNAcentral. Lineage: Eukaryota; Viridiplantae; Streptophyta; Magnoliopsida; Poales; Poaceae.